This 221-nucleotide ribosomal RNA is filed under the name uncultured eukaryote. Its description in RNAcentral is "partial 16S ribosomal DNA". It matches the Rfam family "Bacterial small subunit ribosomal RNA", at positions 525 to 745 of the family's 1533-position model. The record is from RNAcentral.
ACAGAGGAUGCAAGCGUUAUCCGGAAUGAUUGGGCGUAAAGCGUCUGUAGGUGGCUUAAAAAGUCUCCUGUCAAAGAUCAGGGCUUAACCCUGGGCCGGCAGGAGAAACUCUUAGGCUAGAGUUUGGUAGGGGCAGAGGGAAUUCCCGGUGGAGCGGUGAAAUGCGUAGAGAUCGGGAGGAACACCAAAGGCGAAAGCACUCUGCUGGGCCACAACUGACA